GAUGAACGCUGGCGGCGUGCCUAAUACAUGCAAGUAGAACGCUGAAGGAGGAGCUUGCUCUUCUGGAUGAGUUGCGAACGGGUGAGUAACGCGUAGGUAACCUGCCUGGUAGCGGGGGAUAACUAUUGGAAACGAUAGCUAAUACCGCAUGACAACAGUUAUUGCAUGAUAACUGUUUAAAAGGGGCAACUGCUCCACUACCAGAUGGACCUGCGUUGUAUUAGCUAGUUGGUGAGGUAACGGCUCACCAAGGCGACGAUACAUAGCCGACCUGAGAGGGUGAUCGGCCACACUGGGACUGAGACACGGCCCAGACUCCUACGGGAGGCAGCAGUAGGGAAUCUUCGGCAAUGGACGGAAGUCUGACCGAGCAACGCCGCGUGAGUGAAGAAGGUUUUCGGAUCGUAAAGCUCUGUUGUAAGAGAAGAACGAGUGUGAGAGUGGAAAGUUCACACUGUGACGGUAUCUUACCAGAAAGGGACGGCUAACUACGUGC
This 496-nucleotide ribosomal RNA is filed under the name uncultured bacterium. Its description in RNAcentral is "partial 16S ribosomal RNA". It matches the Rfam family "Bacterial small subunit ribosomal RNA", at positions 28 to 508 of the family's 1533-position model. The record is from RNAcentral.